This 434-nucleotide ribosomal RNA is filed under the name uncultured bacterium. RNAcentral describes it as "partial 16S ribosomal RNA". It matches the Rfam family "Bacterial small subunit ribosomal RNA", at positions 29 to 506 of the family's 1533-position model. The record is from RNAcentral.
AGCGAACGCUGGCGGCAGGCUUAACACAUGCAAGUCGAACGGUCAUAGCAAUAUGUCUGUGGCAGACGGGUGAGUAACGCGUGGGAACGUACCUUUUGGUUCGGAACAACACAGGGAAACUUGUGCUAAUAUCGGAUAAGCCCAUACGGGGAAAGAUCUAUCGCCGAAAGAUCGGCCCGCGUGUGAUUAGCUAGUUCGUAGGGUAAUGGCCUACCAAGGCGACGAGCCGUAGCUGGUCUUAGAGGAUGAUCAGCCACAUUGGGACUGAGACCCGGCCCAAAUCCCCACGGAUGGCAGCAGUGGGGAAUAUGGGACAAUGCGCGAAUGCCUGAUCCAUCCAUACCGCGAGACUGAUGAAGGCCCGAGGAAUGUAAAGCUCUGUAGUUCGGGAAGAUAAGAACGUAACCGAAAGGAUAAGCCCCGGCUAACUCCGG